AAUUGUCUUGUAAUUGGAAUGAUGGUUACCUAAACUCUCACCAGAGUAACAAUUGGAGGGCAAGUCUGGUGCCAGCAGCCGCGGUAAUUCCAGCUCCAAUAGCGUAUAUUAAACUUGUUGCAGUUAAAAAGCUCGUAGUUGAAUUUCUGCGUUAUCGAGUUAUUGACUCUUGUCUUUAAUCGAUUUCGCUUUUGGGAUUUAUCCCUUUUUACUUUGAGAAAAUUAGAGUGUUUCAAGCAGACUUUUGUCUUGAAUACUUCAGCAUGGAAUAAUAGAGUAGGACUUUGGUUCUAUUUUGUUGGUUUUUGAACCUUAGUAAUGGUUAAUAGGAACGGUUGGGGGCAUUCGUAUUUAACUGUCAGAGGUGAAAUUCUUAGAUUUGUUAAAGACGAACUACUGCGAAAGCAUUUGCCAAGGACGUUUCCAUUAAUCAAGAACGAAAGUUAGGGGAUCGAAGACGAUCAGAUACCGUCGUAGUCCUAACCAUAAACUAUGCCGACUAGGGAUUGGAGGUCGUCAUUUUUCCGACUCCUUCAGCACCUUGAGAGAAAUCAAAGUCUUUGGA
This 565-nucleotide ribosomal RNA is filed under the name Babesia venatorum (nom. ined.). Its description in RNAcentral is "SSU rRNA". It matches the Rfam family "Eukaryotic small subunit ribosomal RNA", at positions 496 to 1111 of the family's 1831-position model. Lineage: Eukaryota; Apicomplexa; Aconoidasida; Piroplasmida; Babesiidae. The record is from RNAcentral.